RNAcentral lists this ribosomal RNA (253 nucleotides) under uncultured bacterium. Its description in RNAcentral is "partial 16S ribosomal RNA". It matches the Rfam family "Bacterial small subunit ribosomal RNA", at positions 524 to 776 of the family's 1533-position model. The record is from RNAcentral.
UACGGGGGGAGCAAGCGUUGUUCGGAUUUACUGGGCGUAAAGGGCGCGUAGGCGGCAUGACAAGUCAGUUGUGAAAUCUCCGGGCUUAACUCGGAACGGCCAAGUGAAACUGUCAAGCUAGAGUGCGGAAGGGGCAAUCGGAAUUCUUGGUGUAGCGGUGAAAUGCGUAGAUAUCAAGAGGAACACCUGAGGUGAAGACGGGUUGCUGGGCCGACACUGACGCUGAUGCGCGAAAGCCAGGGGAGCAAACGGG